CUGCCUACGGGGGGCAGCAGUGGGGAAUAUUGCACAAUGGGGGAAACCCUGAUGCAGCAACGCCGCGUGAAGGAAGACGGUUUUCGGAUUGUAAACUUCUUUUCUUAGUGAAGAAGCAAGUGACGGUACCUGACCAAGAAGCCCCGGUUAACUACGUGCCAGCAGCCGCGGUAAUACGUAGGGGGCAAGCGUUAUCCGGAUUUACUGGGUGUAAAGGGGGCGCAGACGGCGAUGCAAGCCAGGAGUGAAAGCCCGGGGCCCAACCCCGGGACUGCUCUUGGAACUGCGUGGCUGGAGUGCAGGAG
Molecule: ribosomal RNA, 305 nt
Filed under: uncultured bacterium
Lineage: Bacteria
Description: bacterial SSU rRNA
Rfam family: Bacterial small subunit ribosomal RNA
Source: RNAcentral